CUCUUAUCCAGAGAGGCGGAGGGACCGGCCCUGUGAAGCCUCGGCAACCUGCCGGGUGAACGUUCCCGGUGUGGUGCCAACUCCGGCAGAGAACGCUCUGGAAGAUGAGAG
Molecule: non-coding RNA, 111 nt
Filed under: Chloroflexota bacterium
Lineage: Bacteria; Bacillati; Chloroflexota
Description: Chloroflexi bacterium SAM-I sequence
Rfam family: SAM riboswitch aptamer (S box leader)
About the family: The SAM riboswitch is found upstream of a number of genes which code for proteins involved in methionine or cysteine biosynthesis in Gram-positive bacteria.
Source: RNAcentral